RNAcentral lists this transfer RNA (69 nucleotides) under Stenamma megamanni. RNAcentral's name for it is "tRNA-Ala". The record is from RNAcentral. Lineage: Eukaryota; Metazoa; Arthropoda; Insecta; Hymenoptera; Formicidae.
GGGAUAUUAGUUAAACAAUAACACUUAAAUUGCAUUUAAAAAUCAUAAAUAUAUAUUUUAUAUAUCUCA